Molecule: ribosomal RNA, 503 nt
Filed under: Diaporthe phaseolorum
Lineage: Eukaryota; Fungi; Ascomycota; Sordariomycetes; Diaporthales; Diaporthaceae
Description: eukaryotic LSU rRNA
Rfam family: 5.8S ribosomal RNA (bases 184-337)
Source: RNAcentral
CAUUGCUGGAACGCGCCUCGGCGCACCCAGAAACCCUUUGUGAACUUAUACCUUACUGUUGCCUCGGCGUCAGGCCGGCCCCCCCCCGCGGGGGCCCCUCGGUGACGAGGAGCAGCCCGCCGGCGGCCAAGUUAACUCUUGUUUUUACACUGAAACUCUGAGAAUUAAACAUAAAUGAAUCAAAACUUUCAACAACGGAUCUCUUGGUUCUGGCAUCGAUGAAGAACGCAGCGAAAUGCGAUAAGUAAUGUGAAUUGCAGAAUUCAGUGAAUCAUCGAAUCUUUGAACGCACAUUGCGCCCUCUGGUAUUCCGGAGGGCAUGCCUGUUCGAGCGUCAUUUCAACCCUCAAGCCUGGCUUGGUGAUGGGGCACUGCUCCGCGAGGAGCAGGCCCUGAAAUCUAGUGGCGAGCUCGCCAGGACCCCGAGCGUAGUAGUUAAACCCUCGCUCUGGAAGGCCCUGGCGGUGCCCUGCCGUUAAACCCCCAACUUCUGAAAAUUUGAC